GCAGACACAUUCCAGCCAAUCAGCAGCAGACCCUCCCUCUCAGACCCUCCCACCUCCUGGACAGCAUCCAUUUUACAUUCAUUGUGAAGCUGCAUUCUUAGUGAGCUGUCCAGGAGGUGGGAGGGUCUGGGAGGGAGGGUCUGCUGCUGAUUGGCUGCAAUGUGUCUG
RNAcentral lists this microRNA precursor (168 nucleotides) under Pelobates cultripes (western spadefoot toad). Lineage: Eukaryota; Metazoa; Chordata; Amphibia; Anura; Pelobatidae. The record is from RNAcentral.